RNAcentral lists this unclassified non-coding RNA (240 nucleotides) under soil metagenome. Its description in RNAcentral is "partial contains 5.8S ribosomal RNA, internal transcribed spacer 2, and large subunit ribosomal RNA". The record is from RNAcentral.
AACUGAUACUACCUGCGGGAACCUGCGGAAGGAUCAUUGCUGGAACGCGCCCCAGGCGCACCCAGAAACCCUUUGUGAACUUAUACCUUACUGUUGCCUCGGCGCAUGCCGGCCCCCAGGGGCCCCUCGGAGACGAGGAGCAGGCACGCCGGCGGCCAACCUAACUCUUGUUUUUACACUGAAACUCUGAGAAAAAAAACAAAAUGAAUCAAAACUUUCAACAACGGAUCUCUAGAUCGG